This is a long non-coding RNA of Oncorhynchus tshawytscha (Chinook salmon), 557 nucleotides long. The record is from Ensembl. Lineage: Eukaryota; Metazoa; Chordata; Actinopteri; Salmoniformes; Salmonidae.
ACAAAUAGGGCAGUAUGACUGCUGACUGGGUACAAAUAGGGCAGUAUGACUGCUGACUGGUUACAGAUAGGGCAGUAUGACUGCUGACUGGGUACAAAUAGGGCAGUAUGACUGCUGACUGGUUACAGAUAGGUCAGUAUUACUGCUGACUGGGUACAGACAGGGUAGUAUGACAGCUGACUGGUUACAGAUAGGGUAGUAUGACUGCUGACAGCUGACUGGUUACAGAUAGGGUAGUAUGACUGCUGACAGCUGACUGGUUACAGAUAGGAGAGUAUGACUGCUGACUGGGUACAGAUAGGGAGGUAUGACAGCUGACUGGUUGCAGAUAGGUCAGUAUGACAGCUGACUGGGUACAGAUAGAGGGGUAUGACUGCUGACUGGUUACAGAUAGGCAGUAUGACUGCUGAAUGGGUACAGAUAGGAAGGUAUGACUGCUGACAGCUGACUGGUUACAGAUAGGGAGGUAUGACUGCUGACUGGGUACAAAUAGGGCAGUAUGACUGCUGACUGGUUACAGAUAGGCCAGUAUGACUGCUGACUGGGUACAGAUAGGG